CGGAUGCGAUCAUUCCAGCACUAAAGCACUGGAUCCCAUCAGAACUCCGAAGUUAAGCGUGCUUGGGCGAGAGUAGUACUAGGAUGGGUGACCUCCUGGGAAGUCCUUGUGUUGCAUCCCUC
Molecule: ribosomal RNA, 122 nt
Filed under: Oryza sativa Indica Group (long-grained rice)
Lineage: Eukaryota; Viridiplantae; Streptophyta; Magnoliopsida; Poales; Poaceae
Source: RNAcentral